GACGAACGCUGGCGGCGUGCCUAAUACAUGCAAGUCGAACGAACUCUGGUAAUGAUUGGUGCUUGCAUCAUGAAUUACAUUUGAGUGAGUGGCGAACUGGUGAGUAACACGUGGGAAACCUGCCCAGAAGCGGGGGAUAACACCUGGAAACAGAUGCUAAUACCGCAUAACAACUUGGACCGCAUGGUCCGAGUUUGAAAGAUGGCUUCGGCUGUCACUUUUGGAUGGUCCCGCGGCGUAUUAGCUAGAUGGUGAGGUAACGGCUCACCAUGGCAAUGAUACGUAGCCGACCUGAGAGGGUAAUCGGCCACAUUGGGACUGAGACACGGCCCAAACUCCUACGGGAGGCAGCAGUAGGGAAUCCUCCACAAUGGACGAAAGUCUGAUGGAGCAACGCCGCGUGAGUGAAGAAGGGUUUCGGCUCGUAAAACUCUGUUGUUAAAGAAGAACAUAUCUGAGAGUAACUGUUCAGGUAUUGACGGUAUUUAACCAGAAAGCCACGGCUAACUACGUGCCAGCCGCCGCGGUAA
RNAcentral lists this ribosomal RNA (530 nucleotides) under uncultured bacterium. RNAcentral's name for it is "partial 16S ribosomal RNA". It matches the Rfam family "Bacterial small subunit ribosomal RNA", at positions 28 to 523 of the family's 1533-position model. The record is from RNAcentral.